CAGUCGCCGCGGUAAUACGAAGGGUGCAAGCGUUAAUCGGAAUUACUGGGCGUAAAGCGUGCGUAGGCGGUGAGUUAAGUCUGCUGUGAAAUCCCCGGGCUCAACCUGGGAAUGGCAGUGGAUACUGGCUCGCUAGAGUGUGUCAGAGGAUGGUGGAAUUUCCGGUGUAGCAGUGAAAUGCGUAGAGAUCGGAAGGAACAUCUGUGGCGAAGGCGACUAUCUGGGCCAACACUGACACUGAGGCACGAAAGCGUGGGGAGCAAACAGGAUUAGAUACCCCUGUAGUCCCUGUCUCUUAUAC
This 301-nucleotide ribosomal RNA is filed under the name uncultured bacterium. RNAcentral's name for it is "partial 16S ribosomal RNA". It matches the Rfam family "Bacterial small subunit ribosomal RNA", at positions 509 to 807 of the family's 1533-position model. The record is from RNAcentral.